AGAGAGAGAGAGAGAGAGAGAGAGAGAGGAGCGAAGGCGACGAAGAAGAGAGAGGGAGAACGAUGUCAGACGAGGAGCACCACUUCGAGUCGAAGGCCGACGCCGGUGAUCAUGGGCAUGCCCUGCAAGACGGAAGGAUAGCUACAAACUAGAUUUGUGCUACGGGCAAGAAGAGACUAUUGGUGAUAUUUUCUCCCGCUAGAUUAAACAUCUCCUUGAGGGAAUUCUCAAAGGAGGUAAUGGUUGUAUAAUUGCUUAUGGUGCUCAAGGAAGUGGGAAGAAACAAUUAGUUCAGGGUUCCGAAGAAAACCCAGGUUUGGCACUAAUGGUACUCUCGGAGAUCCUACCAGGGAGUUGGUGGCUUUGUUUUUGGAAAUGACAAUGCUUCAAAUGAAGAUAGGUUACAAGAAGCGAUUCUUUCUAUUCCUCGUGGUAUUUAUGGAUAUGCUUAUGGAUCGUGAGGUUUGCAUUUGUCUAUUUCUUUCUUGUUUAGCUAGUCCGUGAGGUCUUGAGGUAUGUAGACUUCCACUGGUUGAUGCUAUAUGAUUUGGUAUGUUAGUUAGGCAUCAGUGUUUUUAAUUAAAGACCAGAAUGUUCCCAUUAGGUUGGUGGAACAAUUUAAUUAGUUUGAACAAGCUGUUUUAACUAGCUCUGGGGACUCUAUAGUUAGAUUUUAUGUUACCAUCCAUUCACUAUGUUCUUGCUUUAUUCAUACAUAGACCAGAUGCAAUAUAAUAUUAGGAGUAUACAUAGAGAAUCAAUGAUUGGACACUGAAAGAGCAGUAUUAAGCUUCAAAUUCUCACCUUUAUAUUAGUAAUAUGGGAUAUUAAAUCAGAACAAAGUGAAUGGAUGGUAACAUAAAACUUGUGAUGCUUGUCUAGCAAGUAUAAAAUGGUCAUUCGUUUUUAGCAAGUAUAACGUGAAUGGAGUAUACAUGUGCAGGACUAGGUAAUUAUUUUUUAUAAAAUCUCUUAUAUAGUUUUAUGAUUGACUACUUGCACUUGAGAAAAUGAGAUUUUUACUUAAUAGGAUAAUAAUUUCUUAAUUGAUAUUUCUUAAUUAUGUGAUUUUUUUUAAAUU
Molecule: long non-coding RNA, 1081 nt
Organism: Asparagus officinalis (garden asparagus)
Lineage: Eukaryota; Viridiplantae; Streptophyta; Magnoliopsida; Asparagales; Asparagaceae
Exons: 5
Source: RefSeq, a predicted model, not a curated record